RNAcentral lists this long non-coding RNA (40401 nucleotides) under Triticum aestivum (bread wheat). RNAcentral describes it as "long non-coding RNA (TAES_LNC019012)". The record is from RNAcentral. Lineage: Eukaryota; Viridiplantae; Streptophyta; Magnoliopsida; Poales; Poaceae.
GAUACUACAGACUCACGAUUAAAAUCGCUGUGGUAAAUCGACCUAUGACUGGUGGUAUAUGGGAUGCAAAGUUUGCUGGAAGAAGCUGAAAAUGGCGCAUUGAAAUGUCCUACAUGUUCCAAUCCAGAACCAUGACCAAGGUAUUUUUUACCCAUGUUACAUCUCAAUUGGUAACUGUGUCACAAGCAAACAAUUCACCACAAUUCCAUCAUGUAAAUAGGUACAAAAUAGCAGUGCUUGCAAUAGACAUGGAACAUGAGGAGGAACCAAACCCAGUAUUCACAGAGUUUGCCUUUUUUAGAGCAUGAGGUGUUAUAAUCACUGGAAGAAGCGCAAACUCGGCUGUAGCUCAUGGAAAAGGACGAGUUGGUUACCUGGCACUGGAAAUAGAGGAACUUUCUGGAACAAAAAUAUUGUGAGCGGUCACUCCAAAUAGUAGAUCCCUGGGCUGAUUUUUAUUAGUAUUUCCAAGUGCAAGCAACAGAUCAUGUGCAAAGUGAGGCACCAUUAACUCGGCAUCGAAUGGUUAAUCCGCCAUCUGCAUCGGACGUUCCACGGUCUUCGUGUUCCACCCAACACCAGGCAACACAACUGUCAAGAAUGUGCUGCCGGCUCCAGCAUCUCCUGACUACUGUAUGAGGGUGUGUCAUUGGAACCAAAAACAAAAAGGCAAGCAGUCCGACGAUCCACCCAUGGGCCAAGCAAAAGAAAAGGUCAGCACGAUUUUAUUGCAGCAAAUUAAAGAAUGGCUGAAUGUUCAGACCAAUGAUACAAUAUUGUUUAACUAUAUGUAGAUGUGCCGCUAAAGAGUCUUUUCCUUUAAAGAGCCACGAGGAAGAGGAAGCUAAUCUUUAGAAGUAGAACAUGUCAGAAGCCUACCGUGUCAAAAUAAUCAUAGGUGCUACUGUUUGUUCAUCGUCUAAGCGUUCUUUCCUUUUGAACUAAGUACCUUGUGGUUUCAUAGCUUUUGAAUUGAUGUCCUUUCAGCUGUAAUGAUAUCCAUCUGCUCACGUAUCAACUUAGUACAUCUAUUAUUCAUCCACUAGCACAUAUGCCUGUGCGUUGCAACGGGAGAUAAUUAGUAUGCAUUUAAAGUCAGUGGGAAUUAUAUGUGCAAGCAAAAUCCUGUGUGCACAUGAAAAACGAACAUUUAGCUUCUCGGUUUCGCCGUGUCUGAAGGAAUCAAUCCACUUUUUUUAUAUUCAUUCAUUGAGGGUAUUUAAGAGUUUUGUUACGUCAUCGUAUGCCACAGAAGGCCCAUGAGUUAUUUAAUCCACCCUUCCUUUCAAUCGAGGAUUUUAACGUAUGAAACUUCUAAAUAUUCUAGGAAACAUAAACAAUUUUUUCAAUCCCGAAGAGUUUUUUGAAAAUUAUGUACACUUUUGAAAAAACACGAACGAAAUAUGAAAGGGAACAUUUUUUAAAAUUCACAAACAUUUUCUGAAAACACCAACUUUUUNNNNNNNNNNNNNNNNNNNNNNNNNNNNNNNNNNNNNNNNNNNNNNNNNNNNNNNNNNNNNNNNNNNNNNNNNNNNNNNNNNNNNNNNNNNNNNNNNNNNUUUCAGUAGUACACAUGGAUUCAAAUAUUUCAAAAAUAAUUUCAAAACAUUGUUUAAUUGAAUUCAAGUGAAUAUUUUGGCCUUUUGGCAAAUGUAAACCGAUAUAACUGGAACUCGUUGAAUUUCAGUUGGUGCUGAAUGUUUUUCUGAAACUGAAAGUGAAAACCUUGUCUAGCAUUGUGGCACAUCAUAUGAAUGAUUUUGUGUAUUGUUUUACUUGGUGGACUUCCUGGUGUUGCCUGCUGAAGCUACAUGGCUAUGUCCUGCAGCACAAUGCUUGGAACAAUUGUAAAAGGUCACUGCCAUUGUAUACACAAAUUUAUUCCCAUAUUCUGGACAUAUAAAGUACAGUGGCAUCAUUUCAUGAAUGUGGAACCAGAUUGCCCCAAACUGAUUUUUUCAUAAAUUUUAAUUUAUUGGUGUAAAAUAUGGAGUGCGUCAUUACUUUGUAAUAUCAGGUUUGUUCAUAUAAAUAUCUGACUCUGAUUUUACUUUGCCUUGCCAUUUCAACCUGUCUAGGCUGUGGAGCUCUAGAUGUAGAAGCUCCCCUACGCCCACCCUUUUAGGCGCAGCCGCUUGCCGCUGCAAACAUCAAUGAUUCCAGUGAUGACCAACUAUUUGGUGAAAUGUCAGAACAGCCGAAGGUUUAUUUUCCUUCCAAUCGGUCUGGAUAGACUGCGAUGUUAUUUUCCCAGAUUUGUGGUCUUCCAAAAACAACAGACUGUUCCUUAAACAGAUCAAAAGCAACUCCACAGCCAGGCUAAAUUUCUUAAGGAAUUUUAGUCGUAAACUACAUGUCGUGGUAAUUAGUUAUGUACUCUCUUUAUUUGGUUUAUCUUGGUCACAAUAUGUAGUGUUAGGUCUAGAAAGAUAUAUUGUAAGGGUGAGCAGUUUAUUGAAUGAUGAUGAUAUUCUCUUUUUUACAUAAAUUUGAGAUUUUUAUUAUGGUAAACAGAUCUCGUUUAUGAUGAAAGGUGAGAAUUUUACCAAUGGGUGAUGAAGAAACAUGCUUUACCAUAUCCUCUAAUCAGUUCUGGAGAUAUUGCUAUGCUCCAAAAGGAAGCUCCUGUCCUGGGCUACAACUUACUGGCACAUCCAGUUGAUGGUAAGCAUUAUUCAGUAAUGUUUACAGGGCAUAAUAUUUAGAUAGAUGGAUAAAUCUAAUUGUCACCACUCACCAAGUAUAGUCUUGUGAUUCUUCAAAAGCCAAAUGAUCUUUUCUGUGACCUUUGAAGCUCAGUUCCUGUCUUCGCAUCUCAGUUCAACGCUUAUGCGCUGAUCUACAUUGAUUACAGUUUUACUUGAUGAAUUAUAUUUGCAGUGUGAUCAAAAUAUAGAUAUAAUCAUACUGUUUGUGAUUUGUCUUCCUUCCUCAAAUAUGGAUCCUUGCAAAUACUUGGUCAUUAGAUGUUGUCUCUAUAGUUAUUUUUCUGUUCGAUGGAAUAAUUAGGGUACUAAAACAUUGAUUUCACUUAAAAUCCCUUGGCAUCUAUUUCCAUUCUGCCACAUCCAUUAACCGACUGCCGUAUAUUACAAUUGCACAAGGUUAGGGGUAUGCCUCAUCAAAUCGAGUUACGAAAUGCAGGGCAGGGUGACAGGAACCAACUGAAACAACUAAUAAAAACAUGACCAGUUUAGAACCUACUGACACCAUGGUAUUAACACAAGUACUUAUUACCAUUGUUGCACCUAUGCAUGCUUUUAAGUAUUAACCUCAACAUAUGUUUUGACCCUUCUACAGAACUGAUACUACAAACUCACGAUUAAAAUCGCUGUGGUAAAUCGACCUAUGACUGGUGGUAUAUGGGAUGCAAAGUUUGCUGGAAGAAGCUGAAAAUGGCACAUUGAAAUGUCCUACAUGUUCCAAUCCAGAACCAUGACCAAGGUAUUUUUUACCCAUGUUACAUCUCAAUUGGUAACUGUGUCACAAGCAAACAAUUCACCACAAUUCCAUCAUGUAAAUAGGUACAAAAUAGCAGUGCUUGCAAUAGACAUGGAACAUGAGGAGGAACCAAACCCAGUAUUCACAGAGUUUGCCUUUUUUAGAGCAUGAGGUGUUAUAAUCACUGGAAGAAGCGCAAACUCGGCUGUAGCUCAUGGAAAAGGACGAGUUGGUUACCUGGCACUGGAAAUAGAGGAACUUUCUGGAACAAAAAUAUUGUGAGCGGUCACUCCAAAUAGUAGAUCCCUGGGCUGAUUUUUAUUAGUAUUUCCAAGUGCAAGCAACAGAUCAUGUGCAAAGUGAGGCACCAUUAACUCGGCAUCGAAUGGUUAAUCCGCCAUCUGCAUCGGACGUUCCACGGUCUUCGUGUUCCACCCAACACCAGGCAACACAACUGUCAAGAAUGUGCUGCCGGCUCCAGCAUCUCCUGACUACUGUAUGAGGGUGUGUCAUUGGAACCAAAAACAAAAAGGCAAGCAGUCCGACGAUCCACCCAUGGGCCAAGCAAAAGAAAAGGUCAGCACGAUUUUAUUGCAGCAAAUUAAAGAAUGGCUGAAUGUUCAGACCAAUGAUACAAUAUUGUUUAACUAUAUGUAGAUGUGCCGCUAAAGAGUCUUUUCCUUUAAAGAGCCACGAGGAAGAGGAAGCUAAUCUUUAGAAGUAGAACAUGUCAGAAGCCUACCGUGUCAAAAUAAUCAUAGGUGCUACUGUUUGUUCAUCGUCUAAGCGUUCUUUCCUUUUGAACUAAGUACCUUGUGGUUUCAUAGCUUUUGAAUUGAUGUCCUUUCAGCUGUAAUGAUAUCCAUCUGCUCACGUAUCAACUUAGUACAUCUAUUAUUCAUCCACUAGCACAUAUGCCUGUGCGUUGCAACGGGAGAUAAUUAGUAUGCAUUUAAAGUCAGUGGGAAUUAUAUGUGCAAGCAAAAUCCUGUGUGCACAUGAAAAACGAACAUUUAGCUUCUCGGUUUCGCCGUGUCUGAAGGAAUCAAUCCACUUUUUUUAUAUUCAUUCAUUGAGGGUAUUUAAGAGUUUUGUUACGUCAUCGUAUGCCACAGAAGGCCCAUGAGUUAUUUAAUCCACCCUUCCUUUCAAUCGAGGAUUUUAACGUAUGAAACUUCUAAAUAUUCUAGGAAACAUAAACAAUUUUUUCAAUCCCGAAGAGUUUUUUGAAAAUUAUGUACACUUUUGAAAAAACACGAACGAAAUAUGAAAGGGAACAUUUUUUAAAAUUCACAAACAUUUUCUGAAAACACCAACUUUUUNNNNNNNNNNNNNNNNNNNNNNNNNNNNNNNNNNNNNNNNNNNNNNNNNNNNNNNNNNNNNNNNNNNNNNNNNNNNNNNNNNNNNNNNNNNNNNNNNNNNUGAAUUCCUGAUAAUUUGAAAGAGAUUGUCCGUUUUGUACACGAAGUGCAUCGAGUUUUUGCCGUAACCCUCUCAACUUUCUUGCACAUGCUAUGUGGAUGGAAUGAUGAUACCAUGCCACCUUUCAACCUUUUCAGAGUUCAUUUGAAAUGCUUUUUAAUUUUAGGGUCUUAUAGCUCAAAAUAAUUAUUAAAUGCAUGAAAAAUAACAAAUGAAGUCAGAAAGGAUUGAAAAAUGAUGAUGUGGCUUUGAAUGGUGCAUUUUGAACACACAAAAAGUCAGGAGUUCAAAUAAGUUUUAAUAAACGAAAUCCCUUUGUAACACACGAGUUUCCGUAUGAAAUCCUGAUACUUUGAAAGAGAUUGUCCGUUUUGUACACGAAGUGCAUCCAGUUUUCGCCGUAACCCUCUCAACUUUCUUGCACAUGCUAUGUGGAUGAAAUGAUGAUACCAUGCCAACUUUCAACCUUUUAAGAGUUCAUUUGAAAUGCUUUUCAAUCUUAGCGUCUUAUAGCUCAAAAUAAUUAGUAAAUGCAUGAAAAAUAACAAAUGAAGUCAGAAAGCAUUGAAAAAUGAUGAUGUGGCUUUGAAUGGUUCAUUUUGAACACACAAAACGUCAGGAGUUCAAAUAAGUUUAAAAAAAUGAAAUCCCUUUGUAACAGCGAGUUCCGUAUGAAUUCCUGAUACUUUGAAAGAGAUUGUCCGUUUUGUACAUGAAGUGCAUCCAGUUUUUGCCGUAACCCUCUCAACUUUCUUGCACAUGCUAUGUGGAUGGAAUGAUGAUACCAUGCCACCUUUCGACCUUUUCAGAGUUCAUUUGAAAUGCUUUUCAAUUUUAGGGUCUUAUAGCUCAAAAUAAUUAGUAAAUGCAUGAAAAAUAACAAAUGAAGUCAGAAAGGAUUGAAAAAUGAUGAUGUGGCUUUGAAUGGUGCAUUUUGAACACACAAAAAGUCAGGAGUUCAAAUAAGUUUUAAAAAACGAAAUCCCUUUGUAACAGACGAGUUUCCGUAUGAAAUCCUGAUACUUUGAAAGAGAUUGUCCGUUUUGUACACGAAGUGCAUCCAGUUUUUGCCGUAACCCUCUCAACUUUGUUGCACGUGCUAUGUGGAUGGAAUGAUGAUACCAUGCCAACUUUCAACCUUUUCAGAGUUCAUUUGAAAUGCUUUUCAAUUUUAGGGUCUUAUAGCUCAAAAUAAUUAGUAAAUGCAUGAAAAAUAACAAAUGAAGUCAGAAAGGAUUGAAAAAUGAUGAUGUGGCUUUGAAUGGUGCAUUUUGAACACACAAAACGUCAGGAGUUCAAAUAAGUUUUAAAAAAUGAAAUCCCUUUGUAAUAGCGAGUUCCGUAUGAAUUCCUGAUAAUUUGAAAGAGAUUGUCCGUUUUGUACACGAAGUGCAUCGAGUUUUUGCCGUAACCCUCUCAACUUUCUUGCACAUGCUAUGUGGAUGGAAUGAUGAUACCAUGCCACCUUUCAACCUUUUCAGAGUUCAUUUGAAAUGCUUUUCAAUUUUAGGGUCUUAUAGCUCAAAAUAAUUAGUAAAUGCAUGAAAAAUAACAAAUGAAGUCAGAAAGGAUUGAAAAAUGAUGAUGUGGCUUUGAAUGGUGCAUUUUGAACACACAAAAAGUCAGGAGUUCAAAUAAGUUUUAAAAAACGAUAUCCCUUUGUAACAGACGAGUUUCCGUAUGAAAUCCUGAUACUUUGAAAGAGAUUGUCCGUUUUGUACACGAAGUGCAUCCAGUUUUCGCCGUAACCCUCUCAACUUUCUUGCACAUGCUAUGUGGAUGAAAUGAUGAUACCAUGCCAACUUUCAACCUUUUAAGAGUUCAUUUGAAAUGCUUUUCAAUCUUAGCGUCUUAUAGCUCAAAAUAAUUACUAAAUGCAUGAAAAAUAACAAAUGAAGUCAGAAAGCAUUGAAAAAUGAUGAUGUGGCUUUGAAUGGUGCAUUUUGAACACACAAAAUGUCAGGAGUUCAAAUAAGUUUUAAAAAAUGAAAUCCCUUUGUAACAGCGAGUUCCGUAUGAAUUCCUGAUACUUUGAAAGAGAUUGUCCGUUUUGUACACGAAGUGCAUCCAGUUUUUGCCGUAACCCUCUCAACUUUCUUGCACAUGCUAUGUGGAUGGAAUGAUGAUACCAUGCCACCUUUCAACAUUUUCAGAGUUCAUUUGAAAUGCUUUUCAAUUUUAGGGUCUUAUAGCUCAAAAUAAUUAGUAAAUGCAUGAAAAAUAACUAAUGAAGUCAGAAAGGAUUGAAAAAUGAUGAUGUGGCUUUGAAUGGUGCAUUUUGAACACACAAAAAGUCAGGAGUUCAAAUAAGUUUUACAAAACGAAAUCCCUUUGCAACAGACGAGUUUCCAUAUGAAAUCCUGAUACUUUGAAAGAGAUUGUCCGUUUUGUACACGAAGUGCAUCCAGUUUUUGCCGUAACCCUCUCAACUUUCUUGCACAUGCUAUGUGGAUGAAAUGAUGAUACCGUGCCAACUUUCAACCUUUUAAGAAUUCAUUUGAAAUGCUUUUCAAUUUUAGGGUCUUAUAACUCAAAAUAAUUAGUAAAUGCAUGAAAAAUAACAAAUGAAGUCAGAAAUGAUUGAAAAAUGAUGAUGUGGCUUUGAAUGGUGCAUUUUGAACACACAAAAAGUCAGGAGUUCAAAUAAGUUUUAAAAAACGAAAUCCCUUUGUAACAGACGAGUUUCCGUAUGAAAUCCUGAUACUUUGAAAGAGAUUGUCCGUUUUGUACACGAAGUGCAUCCAGUUUUUGCCGUAACCCUCUCAACUUUCUUACACAUGCUAUGUGGAUGGAAUGAUGAUACCAUGCGAACUUUCAACCUUUUCAGAGUUCAUUUGAAAUGCUUUUCAAUUUUAGGGUCUUAUAGCUCAAAAUAAUUAGUAAAUGCAUGAAAAAUAAUAAAUGAAGUCAGAAAGGAUUGAAAAAUGAUGAUGUGGCUUUGAAUGGUGCAUUUUGAACACACAAAAAGUCAGGAGUUCAAAUAAGUUUUAAAAAAUGAAAUCCCUUUGUAACAGCGAGUUCCGUAUGAAUUCCUGAUACUUUGAAAGAGAUUCUCCGUUUUGUACAUGAAGUGCAUCCAGUUUUUGCCGUAACCCUCUCAACUUUCUUGCACAUGCUAUGUGGAUGGAAUGAUGAUACCAUGCCACCUUUCAACCUUUUCAGAGUUCAUUUGAAAUGCUUUUCAAUUUUAGGGUCUAAUAGCUCNNNNNNNNNNNNNNNNNNNNNNNNNNNNNNNNNNNNNNNNNNNNNNNNNNNNNNNNNNNNNNNNNNNNNNNNNNNNNNNNNNNNNNNNNNNNNNNNNNNNGGGGGGGGGGUAGAGUUUGAAAAUGGGUCCUUUAGUAUCGGUUUGUGUCUCCAACAGGGACCAUAGAUCAGACCCCUUUAGUCUCGGUUCGUGGAACAAACCGGUACUAAAGGUUAGCCCUGUAGUACCGGUUUGUGCCACGAACCAGGACUAAAGGGGCUCGUGGGGCCCCGGCUUGAUGCCAGCCUGUCACCACCCCUUAGUAGCGGUUCGUGGCAUGAACCAGUACUAAAGGUUCAACACGAACCAGCAUUAAUGCAUAGCUGUUCGAACCGGAACUAAUGGUACCAUUAGUACUGGGCCAAAAUUGAACCGAGACUAACGUGUCUCACAUUAGGUCCUUUUUCUACUAGUGUAUAACCUUCCUCCUUGGCUGUGCAUGAAGCGGAAGUUCAUUAUGAUGCCAGUUCUCAUCCAAGGCCCUAAGCAACACGGCAACGGCAUUGAUGUGUACCUCAGGCCAUUAGUUGAAAACUGUGUACGUGGGACGAGCACAAACAGGAGGAAUUUGACCUGCAUGCACUACUAGGGAAAAGCCUAGCAGCAGAGCGGGUUUUGGGCCUAUCAGUAGCGCGGGGAGGAGCGCUACUGAUAAGGCGCUACAGCUAAUGCUUAGCAAUAGCGCGUCUGGACCCACGCUACUGCUAUGUUGUAUUCAUACACCUUUACACAAGUUUUCAUACAACAUGAAUUUAGAGAUUGCUUUUACAUCAUAAUGAGUUAUUACAUCAUGGGGUGAAAGAACCGUGGACUUGUUUCAAGUGGAUGUCCAUCCACUUGAAACUAAUCCACGGUUCUUUCACCCCAUGAUAUAAUAAUAUCAUCAUCAUCGUCAUAUCAUUAACAACUUAUCAUCAUAAUACAUCAUUGUCAUAUAACACCUCCUCAAGAUCAUCGUUUUCAUCAUUGACAUCACAUAACACCUCCUCAAUAUCAUCAUUAUCAACUCUAACACAUUACCACAUAAUAAACAUAUUGUACCUCAUAGGACCUAUUACAUUCGAUUAAGACCUACUACAUUUUCUAAGGUAAAAUAGCAAAAAACAAGAUAGCCCCUGACUCUCCAUUAUGGAAAAUGGAGAUUAGCCUGUCUCCAAUUCAUAUCAUGCAGAGACAUCAGAUGAGGCACACAAUCCAUCGGGAGUUUCUGUUGAAAAACAUAAUAAUAACUUCGUAGUUAGCAAUGAUGUACUAGUUUUAGAAGUAUGCAAAAGAUGCACGGAUGUCGUAAUAGUAAAAAAUCUUACCAGGGUAUCUCCAGAGAAGUUAUCGUGGUUCAACACAUGCACUAGUGGCACGUAUUCACCAUAAUUUGGAGGAGUUCGAUAAUAGUCAUUGUAAUUCUCAAGAAGAGUACAAAAUGCGAUCAGAUGAUUUUUCUCCUUAUACGUUAAUUCGGUGCCAUCGGUGUAGUGGGUUUUAUCUACCAUCUUCCGCACAGUCUUUGAAGAAUCAAAAUAAGCUGUCAAUGGAAAUAAGCUAUCAACUAUUUUGAAAUAAACAAUAUAAAUUAGUUAAUAACUAUGUUUGAGAAACUCACAUAGCGGUACAAUCGGAAGCGUAUCAACAAGGCCCCAAAUGUCCAUAUUGUUUUCCUUGCUGUCAGGAUCACCAAGAUCCAUGGUGAGAAUCAUACCCUCAUAAAAACCAUACAUUUUGCAAAGUGCUUCCCAAUUUUGGCAACCAAAAUGGGUUACGCUCUGAGCAUUGCACAGAUUUACUUCAAAAUCCAUAUCAUGAUGGGUCCUUAGGUGUAUUUUCUUUGUUUCGAAAUUUUCAUGGUCUUCAAAACCCAUCCUCUCCAAGAUAUAGCAUCUUGCAUGGCAUGACAUAAGCUAGUCGAAUUGUAAAAUAUGAAAAUUAGACGUUGAAAUAGUUGAAGUCAUGCUUAAUUACGAAAAAAACACUUGUCGUUGUUGCGUACCGUUUCACAAUCGAAGGUCUCCUCGAGCUUAAUGCUGAAGCGUCGAUCUUCGUCCAGCCGAACGAACCUGUCGCACAUACCUCGAUCGUCGUGGCACCAGCUACACUCCCCCGGGAGACCAUCGUCGUCCGAGUACGACAUUUCCUACAAUCAUAAUUCAAAGAUUAAACUUGUACAUAUUCUAGCACAAGUCAUGCCAGAAUUCACGACAAAAUCCGGCAUGACCUUUGCUAAAAAAGGACAUAUCGAGCGCCUGAAAUUUGCCGGAACGGAAAUUAAUCAACACUCCGGCAAAACAUAGGCCACUCGGAGAUGUAAACUGAACAUGAACGGCCACUUGGGCAACCACAUAUCCUAUUUGAGCAACAACACAAGAUAUACAAGGAUAUUUGGCUGGUCUCACCUCGAUGUCGGAGGGGGUGGGUGACUGGGACGACGGCGGGUAUGUCGGAGGGGGUCGAUGAUGGGACGACGGUGGUCACCUGAAACCAUAUAAGUUAUCACUAAUACAUCCCGAAUAAUUGCUUAAACUAAAAAAUAACAAGAAAUAUGACAUGUUCAACUAGUUUUAUUUAUUCAACUAGUUCUUACUAAAUAUAAACUUACUAUAAAUAGAAAAAAACUAGUUCUUUCUAAAAAUAAAGUAGUUCAACUAGUUAGAUUAAUUAUUUUACUAAAAAUACAUUAUUUCUAUUAAUUCAACUAGUUCAACUAGUUUAUUAAUUUACUUACUAAACUAGUUCAACUACAACUAAAGUAGUUCAACUACCACUACUACUACUAAAAAUCUAGUACUAACUAAGUAACAUCUAGUACUAGCUCUGAACCCUAAAUUAACAUCUACUACUACUAAAUCUAGUACUAACUAGUGGCAAGGGGUGGGGGCGACGGAGAGGUAGCUAGGGGCGGCGAGGUCGAGGGCGGUGGGAGGAGGGCUGCCGGCGGAGGAGGGAGGAGGGGCGGCCGCAGGUGGAGGGAGGAGGGCGGCGGCAGAGGAGGGAGGGGCGGCCGCAGGCGGAGGGAGGAUGUGCGAGGAGGAGGGAGGAGGGACGGAAGGAGGGGAGUACCUCGGCGGCGGACGGACGAAGGCGGCGGCGGCGGCGACGCACGACGACGGUUACGCGGGCGAGAGUGAGAGUGUGAGUGAGAGGGUCGGUCGUGCGCGUGGGGAUAAGGUAGGGAUAGUUGUAGCGUGUUUGCCAAAACACGCUACAGCUAAUCUGAAUAGCAGUAGCGCUGUUUAGUAUAGUGCUCUACUGCUAUAACUAGCGGGGGGGGGGNNNNNNNNNNNNNNNNNNNNNNNNNNNNNNNNNNNNNNNNNNNNNNNNNNNNNNNNNNNNNNNNNNNNNNNNNNNNNNNNNNNNNNNNNNNNNNNNNNNNCGUCCACUUCUACCGCCGACCAGAAACCGCCGGAGACGACUUCUUCGACGUGACCAGGUUGAAAACGGCGUUGAGCAAGGCGCUUGUGCCCUUCUACCCCCUGGCCGGCCGCUUGAGGGCGGGCGCAGACGGCACGUUGGAGAUCGACUGCAACGGCAAGGGCACGCUCUUCCUCAUGGCUCACUCUCGUCUCACCAUGGAUGACUUCAGCGAUUUCAAGCCAUCAACGAAGCAGAGGAGGCUGUUUGUUCCUCACGUCAGCGACUCAGAUGACCUCUUAUGGGCAACCCAGGUCCGUUUGAUUCCUAUCUAGUCCUUUCUAUCCAAAUCAAUUACUAACUACACCUACAAUUAACAGAAGUAAUAUGUAGGAGGGUACUAUUCAGAAGCAAUUAGUAGUAUGUAAAACAAAUUAAUCCAUAUAUGUAUGUAGGUGACAUUCUUAAAGUGGGGUGGGGUGGUCUUAGGGUCGGCAAUCCAUCAUGCUGCUAUGGACGGAUCUGCUGUAUUCCACUUCUUAAGGACAUGGUCAGCUUUCUCCAGGGACGGCGACCGGGCUAUGGUGAACCUCCCCUGCCAUGACCGCUCGCGCUUGUGUGCGCGUGAUCCACCUGUUGUUCAUCCCGACGCACUUUCCAUUUUUAGCCCCAAGAUAAACCUACCGCCGCAGCCAGGGCCACUCGUCAACGAGGUUGUGGCCUUCACCCUUGGCAAGGACCAACUUUCCACUCUAAAGCACAUAUCUGGUGGUGAUAGCGUGAGCACGUUUAGCGCCGUGAGCGCCCACCUGUGGCAAUGCAUGUGUUUAGCCCGGCAGCUACCCCCGGAUGCUGCGACACAACUUAUGUUCUCGGCCAACGUCCGCCGCAUCAUGAGGCCACCACUCCCAGACGGCUACUUCGGCAACGCGAUAAUAAACCUAAGUGUCGGCGACAACGUGCAUGCCAUCACCUCGCGCGAGCUGAGCUACAUCGCGCAGCGAAUCAGAGACACCCACAGACGGGUGAACGACGAGCUAGUGCAUUCGGCAAUCGACUACCUCGAGCUAGCAAAGAGGGACGACGAGCGCCCGGCUACAGGCAAUUUGCCGGUGACUGUCAUUAGAGUUGUCAGCUGGCUUGGCAUGCCGUCAUACGAUGCGGAUUUCAGCUGGGGGAGGCCAUUGGCUAUGUUCCGUGCUGAACCAAACCGCGGAGGUUUUGUGCACCUGAUUGACAGCGCACAGGGUGAUGGCAGUGUGCGCAUCAUCAUGUCUAUAGAGGCUGCAAUUCUCAGCGAGUUGAAGCGUUUGUUGUAUGCCAAAUUCGACAACAUGUUGUAUUCUAAGUUUUAACCUGCAUGUACCAGGUGUGUUCGAGUCAUGGAUGUUCGAUAAUUGUACCCUGUUAGGUGUUUGUACACCAAGAAAUAAUCUUAAGCAGCUUACACUAGGCUUAUACAAUUGAAUUCAAUCCUUCUGGUCUCAGCUUCAGAGUACAGUAGUUGCUCGUGGAAUGCACGAUUAUUUUUACUGGGAUGAAGAUAAUUACUGCAAAUGGGAUGGUUUACGUGCUCAAGCACUCUUGGGUUAUUUAUUUUUAGUCCCUGUGCUCUGUCUGUGUUGGUGCUCACUCUACCCGGUCACCUUCAGCCAUGGCAGCGAAAGUUAAUUGAUUUGAAUCCAUCUAUAUACUGGGAUGGGAGGAAGCUUGCUGAGCUCGGCGAGGGAGUAAUUUUUAGUUGUAACAAUGUAAGUAAUGCGACGCGGUCACUCUGCAUACAGGUCCAGAUGUUCCCAGGUGUGAUCAAGAAAUCAUUUAAAAUAACUGAAAACUUUAUAAAAUUUAUGAUUUUUUUAUGGUGCUAGAUGAUCGAAUGCGUGAUGCCCGUGUAACUGAAAACUUUAUAAAAUUAUGAUUUUUUUAUGGUGCAAGAUGAUCGAAUGCAUGAUGCCCGUGCCAAAUUUGGUGGAGUUUGGACAUUCGAGGAACUCAUGGCAAAAAGGAAAAAAUCAGGUCUGUGAGAAAGUUUGAAAAAGCGCAGUUUUCAUAGCUGAUUUUGUCCAUUUUGGCGCGAGCUCCACGAAUGUCGUUUAUCCAUGAAUUUUUGCACGCACCUAGAGGUCCACCUUUAGUCCCGGCCGGCGACACACCGAGGAAAGCGCUGCGGCUCUCACCACUCGACCUCAUGCUAGCCAACAGAGGUCUCACUCCAGUCGUCCGCUUCUACCGGCGGCAUACCACCGACGACGCCUUCUUUGAUGUGACCAAGUUGAAGACAGCGUUAGGCAAGGCCCUCGUUGCCUUCUAGCCUAUGGCCGGCCGCCUCAGGGCUGACGCCCAUGGCAGGCUAGAGAUCGACUGCAAACAGCAAGGAUGUGCUCUUCGUCGUCACGCACUCUCGUCUUACCAUUGUUGACCUCAGCGACUUCAAGCCAUCACCAAGGCUAAGGAGGUUGUUUGUUCCCCACGUCGAUGACCCAGCCUAUAUCGUGUGGGCCACCCAGGCAGGGUCGGCCCUGUGUUUCAGAAGGCCCUAGGGUGAACUCGACCCCUAAGUUCUAAGACCAUAUAUAUGUAUGUGUGUGCAUGAUACACAAACAUAUGUAUCUUUAGUUUGAGAUUUGAUACAUAAACAUAUAUAACUUCAUUUGCAUAACAUUACAACUAAACUUUCAACCACAAAUCUUUAGUUUGAGAUUUGACUAUAAUAAUUAUUGAAAUGUCAUAUUACAAUAGAAAGACUAAAAAGACGGGAAAAUGAAGCUAACUUGACAUGAUUACCUUAAAUGCGAACCAAAUUCGACUAACUUCAAAAUUUUAUACAUCGGACAAUCAGAACUCUAGACACAUACACAUAAUGACAAAAAAUUAAGAUGGUUGAAUACAUAUUGUGAAAGAUUGAAUUUGAAAAAAGUAUACAUAAAAAAUUUGAAACUUUGUGCACACUGAAACUGAAGAGAUAUUCUGAUACUAGUAGAAAAGGGGGCUUUGGUCCAGGCGGGUAACCCCAUUAGUCCCGGUUCAGUCCAGAACCGGGACCAAUGGGUGCAUUUAUCCCGGUUCGUGCGGCUAAGGCAUUAGUCCCGGUUCACCUGGGCCCUUUAGUCCCGGUUCGUGCCACGAACCGGGACUAAAGGGUGUGACGCCCAUUAGUCCCGGUUGCCAUUAGUACCGGUUCAUGUCACGAACCGGUACUAAAGGUCCCAUUUUCAAACCCCCCCCCNNNNNNNNNNNNNNNNNNNNNNNNNNNNNNNNNNNNNNNNNNNNNNNNNNNNNNNNNNNNNNNNNNNNNNNNNNNNNNNNNNNNNNNNNNNNNNNNNNNNAUGUAUCCACAUAAAUAUUAACAAAAUAAAAAUUAUCACAUUAAUUAAAAAGGAUUAAUCUCAAGAUUCAUGAUGUAGUCCAUCAAGACUAUAUGUCGUUCGUAUAACACGUUCCUGUAACAUGUUCCUAUAACAAAAGUAUUUGAUGUAACAUGAUAAUUGUAGUUUAGAGACCAUGGUUUGUUCGUAUAGAAACCUGAGCUUGCUUGCUUCUACAAUUAACUUUCAAGAUGUAAUUGUCCAUUAGUGAGCAUGGUCAUUGGAAAACGUCUUUCUACUUAUAAACUAACUGAAGAAUAUUAUAUUUCUUUAGAAAUAAAAUGAAGAAUAGUUAAUAUGUGAAACAAGAGCUUGGACAUGUUAAUUUUUUAGGCUGUCUUAACGUUUGUGAAUGCGCAGGCAAUGUCGACCAUGGGUUGAGGCUAGACUUUGCUGGAUAAGGUUCUCCCUUAGAUGAUGACAGCAUGGAUGGCCGGAUCUUUGUCCAGUGAGCACUAUGGAUGGUCGAAUAUGCAUCUAGCGAGCGCCAAGCCGGGUGGUGGUGGCUGCAGAAUUAGCAUAGGGGUUUGUAGAUUUUAGUUUCUUGUGUUUUGCUAGUCCAUACGGAUGAAUUAUUUGGAAAUAUAUGUAAUUUUAAGGUUUUGUGUAAAAAAACCUGCUUAUGUUUAUGAUUUUUUCUUUUGGUUAAUGACAUGAGUUUAUAUUUUUGAGAAAAUAGAAUUUCCAUGGGCCAUGAGAAAUGAGAUGGGCUAGUCGUUGGAUUGAAACUACUGGGCGUUGGACGUAUUGAAACAUUAAUGGGCCAACAUUUUAAUUGGGCUGAUUACUACAUUGGUGUUGGUCUUGGAUUGAGCUAAAAUUUAAUGAGUCAAAAAUCAUAUUGGGCUGAUUACUUCAUGGGCCGCCAUGUUAGAUCCAGGUCAGAUGCUGACGUGGCAGACAAGUUAACGUCGUUAUGAGCACGUCAGUUUAGUAUUCCAUGACGAUCAAGAACUGUCAUGGUCCAUGACGGUUCUUGAUGAUCCGUCAUGGAGCGUACCAUGUUCAAAUUAUGACACAAUAUACAUGACGGAUUUCAGGCCCAUCACGUAUGCCCUCUCAUGACAAUUUUGCGCAUGUCCAUGACGGAUUAGAACUGUCAUGUAUUAACAGAUUUCUUGUAGUGGUAGAACACAAAUUUGUUGUGGGCGUAGAUGUUGUCAACUUUCUUGCCACUACUAGUCUUAUUUUGCUUCAGCGGUAUCGUGGGAUGAAGCGGCCCGGACCGACCUUACACGUACGCUUACGUGAGACAGGUUCCACCGACUGACAUGCACUAGUUGCAUAAGGUGGCUAGCGGGUGUCUGUCUCUCCCACUUUAGUUGAAGCAGAUUCGAUGAAAAGGGUCCUUAUGAAGGGUAAAUAGAAGUUGGCAAAUCAUGUUGUGGCUUUUACAUAGGUAAAAAAACGUUCUUGCUAGAACCCUAUUGCAGCCACAUAAAACAUGCAACAACAAUUAGGGAACGUCUAACUUGUUUUUACAGCAUGUGAUUGUGAUGUGAUAUGGCCAAAAGUUGUGAUGAAUGAUGAAUGAUAUAUAUGUGAUGUAUGAGAUCAUGUUCUUGUAAUAGGAAUCACGACUUGCAUGUCGAUGAGUAUGACAACCGGCAGGAGCCAUAGGAGUUGUCUUAAUUAUUGUAUGACAUGCGUGUCAUUGAUUCAACGCCAUGUAAUUACUUUACUUUAUUGCUAAACCGUUAGACAUAGUAGUAGAAGUAAUAGUUGGCGAGCAACCCCAUGGAGACACGAUGAUGGAGAUCGUGAUGAUGGAGAUCAUGGUGUCAUGCCGGUGACGAAGAUGAUCAUGAAGCCCCGAAGAUGGAGAUCAAAGGAGCUAUAUGAUAUUGGCCAUAUCAUGUCACUACUAUUUGAUUGCAUGUGAUGUUUAUCAUGUUUUUGCAUCUUGUUUACUUAGAACGACGGUAGUAAAUAAGAUGAUCCCUCAUGUGCGCCGUUGUGAAAGUUCGUUGUUUAAAAGCACCACAUGAUAAUCGGGUGUGAUAGAUUCUAACAUUCACAUACAACGGGUGUAAGACAGAUUUACACACGCAUAAAUACUUAGGUUAACUUGACGAGCCUAGCAUGUACAGACAUGGCCUCGGAACACAAGAGACCAAAAGGUUGAACAUGAGUCGUAUGGAAGAUAUGAUCAACAUGGAGAUGUUCACCGAUGAUGACUAGUCCGCCUCACGUGAUGAUCGGACACAGCCUAGUCGACUCGGAUCAUGUAUCACUUAGAUGACUAGUGGGAUGUCUAAUCUGAGUGGGAGUUCAUUAAAUAAUUUGAUUAGAUGAACUUAAUUAUCAUGAACUUAGUCUAAAAUCUUUACAAUAUGUCUUAUAGAUCAAAUGGCCCACGUUACCCUCAACUUCAACGCGUUCCUAGAGAAAACCAAGCUAAAAGAUGAUGGCAGCAACUAUACGGACUGGGUCCGGAACCUGAGGAUCAUCCUCAUAGCUGCAAAGAAAGAUUAUGUUUUAGAAGCACCGCUAGGUGAAGCUCCCAUCCCAGAGAACCAAGAUGUUAUGAACGCUUGGCAGUCUCGUGCUGAUGAUUACUCCCUCGUUCAGUGCGUCAUGCUUUACAGCUUAGAACCGGGGCUCCAAAAGCGUUUUGAGCAACAUGGAGCAUAUGAGAUGUUCGAAGAGCUGAAAAUGGUUUUCCAAGCUCAUGCUCGGGUCGAGAGAUAUGAAGUCUCCGACAAGUUCUUCAGUUGUAAGAUGGAGGAAAAUAGUUCUGUCAGUGAGCACAUAUUCAAAAUGUCUGGGUUGCACAACCGCUUAACUCAGCUGGGAGUUAAUCUCCCAGAUGACGCGGUUAUUGACAGAAUCCUUCAGUCGCUUCCACCGAGCUACAAGAGCUUUGUGAUGAACUUCAAUAUGCAGGGGAUGGAAAAGACCAUUCCUGAGGUGUAUUCAAUGCUGAAAUCAGCGGAGGUAGAGAUCAAGAAGGAACAUCAAGUGUUGAUGGUGAAUAAAACCACUAAGUUCAAGAAAGGCAAGGGUAAGAAGAACUUCAAGAAGGACGACAAGGGAGUUGCGGCGCCCGGUAAGCCAGUUGCCGGGAAGAAGUCAAAGAAUGGACCCAAGCCUGAGACUGAGUGCUUUUAUUGCAAGGGAAGCAGACACUGGAAGCAGAACUGCCCCAAAUACUUAGCGGACAANNNNNNNNNNNNNNNNNNNNNNNNNNNNNNNNNNNNNNNNNNNNNNNNNNNNNNNNNNNNNNNNNNNNNNNNNNNNNNNNNNNNNNNNNNNNNNNNNNNNGAUGCACCAGUAUCAAAAAGAACUUUUGCAGGAAUAUCAUUAACAGGAAGAUUACCCAUUAUCACAUCAGUAGAUUCCUCCGCUUGAGCUGCAUUCAUCAUGUUCACCUUUGCAAACUUUGGAUUAUGCUUGACCACUGCAUUGCUGGAAGAUCUGACAGGAGGAGGAGGAGGAAGACGCCUCUGGUUGAAGCACUUGUUAGCAUAGUGACCUUUCUGCUGACAUUUGUUGCAAGUCACCUCUGAGAGUGGACGGUGAUAAGGAGCAUUGGACUUGGGAGCUUGAUUCUGAGACUUGUUCUGAUGGCCAGAGUUGGAAGAGUUUGAAGAACCAUGGCCACCUUUGUUCUUCUGCUGGUAAGGCUGACGAAACGGGGGAGGAGGAGGCAAUCAGAACUUCUGUUGCUUAGCUGUCACAAGUGAGGAAGAAGAAGACUGAACUGCAUCCCUGACUCUCUUCUUAGAAGCCUCACACUUGAGCUGAGCAGCCUCUUGCUUCAGUGCCAUAUUGUAGAAUUGAUCAAACUGAGUGGGCUCAACAAGAACGAGAGCUAACUGCAGAUCCUCUUUAAGGCCACCUCGGAAGUGAUAGAUCAUGCUCUUCUCAUCAGGAACGUCUUGUUUAGCGAAGCGAGCAAGUUUCUGAAACUGAAUGUUGUAUUGAUACACAAACAUGUUUCCUUGCUUGAGAUUGCGGAACUCCUCACGCUUGCUCUCAACAACACUUUGUGGAAUGUGGUGCGCUUUGAAAUCCCGACAGAAGUCAGUCCAAGUAAUCACACGACCUCCUCUGGAAUCUUUGUAUUGCUGAAACCAAUCAGCAGCUUGGUCCUUGAGCUGGAAAGAAGCGAACUUGACAAAGUCCUCAGGCCUGACAUUGCUACAUUCAAAAUGCUUGUUGAUGUCCACGAGCCAAUCAUCGGCAUCCGUGGCCUCGGCACAGUAGCUAAAAGACUUGGGCUGAUUUGCGAGAAACUGGUUGAGAGUGGCAAAGUGAAACUGAUUGUUGCCUUGACCUUGAUUGCCUUGAUUCCCUUGCCCUUGAGUACGUUCUUGCAAGAGUUGCAGAAUCAUCUGAGCGUUGGCGUUGGUGGCUGCCAUGAUUGCUUGCCAUGCCUCCGGAGGUGGAGGUGGUGGCGGAGGGUUCGCUUGACUCCCUUCAUUGCGAUCCGGAUUCUGACGCGUUGGCGGAGCCAUCCUGAAGAGGGUGACAUCCGUUAGCAUCUUGAUAGACAAAAGAUAAGUGGAAUCAACGGAUAGAAAUUGCAACAUAUAGUCUUCACAAUAAACAUUCGCACGAAGAUGAACGAAUGAAUUCCGUAGUAAACCAUCACACUUCCAUAAGUUGAGAAGCCACUUGAAAAGAUAUGGAAUGAACAUAUGAAUUCGAAGCAACUCGAAUACCACAAUACAAAAUAAAACAAAGUAUUGGCUUGCAGAAUAAGCCGGAACAAACAUAUGAUAGAUAUUUCGUCCGAAGUUUUCAUGGUGGGGCCCACACGGGCUCAAUCGUACAGCACCAUCAUGUACAAAGGCUAUGCACAUGACAUACGAAGCGUCCCCGAGUCGGUAAAGCCAUGGACUCUUUAAGACACAACGAGACCACUGUAAAAUCAACCGUAUACAGGCGGACCACUAGACGUCGAACCCCAAUCUCAUAUCAUGCAUCUGUCGGAAAGAUAUCCUAAGGCUACUAGAAUUCCCACUUAUAAACUCCCGAAACUUUCUAGUUAUGCAAUCUGGUGUAGGGGAUACAGGGGACACAAAUAUAUAUCACCCAAACUAACAAUCCCUAGAUCCAGCUGUAUCCAUCCGUCAACACAUAACCAAGAAACCUUCGGAAAUCGUUUACCUCAACCUUCGAAAAACAUCCGUUAUACAAGUUAUGGCAAUACUCCCGAACUCCCGCCCCAGUACUGGGUGGCGUCGAGGUGAUCUCACCAACAACUGCAUAAAAGAGAUUUCGAUGUCGGCGAAACUCAGGUAUUCCAGAACUGCAACGAUAAAAUUGUGACGACAACACCUCGGAGCUCAACUCCCCGGGACACUGCCACAACCCCUAAAUGACAGGAGGCACCAAGAACAAUGUUCUCGUCACAAAUCGAUCGGAACGAUUCCAAGAUACCCGCGUGAUCUUAAAAUUUUUUUUUAGUGAAAUUUGAGGAGAGAAUAGUCAAAACUUCUACGUCAGGAGACCUCACCAGAGCGACGAAGGGACUGAGGAGUAAAAAGAAUCCUACUCUCCGAUAUAUAUAAUCCUAAGACUCAAAACAUUUUUGUUCUAGACUCAACAACGCCAGCGAUUCGAUCAAGCAGGGGGCUCCUAAGUCGGGGAUGGCUCUGAUUACCAACUUGUAACGCCCACGAUGCGGCUAUAUCUCCCACGUGUCGAGGCACGACUUAGAGGCAUAAUCGCAUAGUGGUUUUGUCGCAAGAAGGGUCAUCUUCACACAAUCCCAUGUAAUGAACAAGAAUGGGAUAAAGAGUUGGCUUACAAUCGCCACUUCACACAAUACAUAAAUAUCAUCAUACAUCAUCCAAGAUACAAUCAUGUAGACCGACUACGGUCAAAAUCCGGAUGAAAAUAAGACAACCCCAAAUGCUAGAUCCCCGAUCGUCCCAACUGGGCUCCACUACUGAUCAUCAGGAAAAGACACAUAGUAACGACCACGUUCCUCGUCGAACUCCCACUUGAGAUCGACGCCAUCAUCUGCACUGGCAUCGUCGGCACCUGCAACUGGUGUUGGAAGUAUCUGUGAGUCACGGGGACUCAGCAAUCUCACACCCGCGAGAUCAAGACUAUUUAAGCUUAUAGGACAAAGAGGUGCAAAGAGGUGGAGCUGCAGCGGCAAAAGCAUAUAUGGUGGCUAACUUGCGCAAAUGAGAGCGAGAAGAGAAGCAAUGGAACGGGCGUCAUCGAGCAAUGACCAAGAAGAGGUCCUGAACACCUACUUACGUCAUACAUAACACAGACCGUGUUCACUUCCCGGACUCCGCCGAGAAGAGACCAUCACGGCUACACACGCACUUGGUGUAUUUUAAUUGGGUCAAGUGACAAGUUAUCUACAACCGGAUAUUAACAAAUUCCCAUCUGCCUCAUAACCGCGGGCACGGCUUUCGAAAGAUAAUACCCUGCAGGGGGGUCCCAACUUAGCCCAUCAUAAGCUCUCACGGUCAACGAAGGAUAAACCUUCUCUCGGAAAGNNNNNNNNNNNNNNNNNNNNNNNNNNNNNNNNNNNNNNNNNNNNNNNNNNNNNNNNNNNNNNNNNNNNNNNNNNNNNNNNNNNNNNNNNNNNNNNNNNNNUUUUUUUUUGAGCCUUCUCUUUUUUAUGGCCUUUCUCUUUUUUUGGGCCCUCUCUUUUUUAUGGCCUUUCUCUUUUUUUAUUCCUCACUUCGGACAAUGCUCUAGAAAAUGAUGAUCAUCACACUUCUAUUUAUUUACAAGUCAAUGAUUACAACUCGAUACUAGAACAAAGAUGACUCUAUAUGAAUGCCUCCGGUGGUGUACCGGGAUAUGCAAUGAACCAAGAGUGACAUGUAUGAAAGAAUUAUGAACGGUGGCUUUGCCACAAAUACUAUGUCAACUACAUGAUCAUGCUAAGCAAUAUGACAAUGAUGAUGCGUGUCAUAAUAAACGGAACGGUGGAAAGUUGCAUGGUAAUAUAUCUCGGAAUGGCUAUGGAAAUGCCAUAAUAGGUAGGUAUGGUGGCUGUUUUGAGGAAGAUAUAAGGAGGUUUAUGUGUGAUAGAGCGUAUCAUAUCACGGGGUUUGGAUGCACCGGCGAAGUUUGCACCAACUCUCAAUGUGAGAAAGGGCAAUGCACGGUACUGAAGAGGCUAGCAAGGAUGAAAGGGUGAGAGUGCGUAUAAUCCAUGGACUCAACAUUAGUCAUAAACAACUCACAUACUUAUUGCAAAAAUCUACAAGUCAUCAAAAACCUCGGCACUACGCGCAUGCUCCUAGGGGGAUAGAUUGGUAGGAAAAGACCAUCGCUCGUCCCCGACCGCCACUCAUAAGGAGGACAAUCAAAUAACACCUCAUGUUUCAAAUUUGUUACAUAACGUUUACCAUACGUGCAUGCUACGGGACUUGCAAACUUCAACACAAGCAUUUCUCAAUUUCACAACUACUCAACUAGCACGACUUUGAUAUUAUUACCUCCAUAUAUCAAAAUAAUCAUCAAGCAUCAAACUUCUCUUAGUAUUCAAAACACUCAUAAGAAAAUUUUACUAAUCUUGAAUACCUAGCAUAUUAGGAUUUUAAGAAAAUUACCAUGAUAUUUAAGACUCUCAAAAUAAUCUAAGUGAAGCAUGAGAGUUCAUCUAUUUCUUCAAAAUAAAACUACCACCAUGCUCUAAAAGAUAUAAGUGAAGCACUAGAGCGAAUGACAAACUACUCUGAAAGAUAUAAGUGAAGAUCAAUGAGUAGUCGAAUAAUUAUGCAACUAUGUGAAGACUAUCUAACAUUUAAUAACUUCAGAUCUUGGUAUUUUAUUUAAACAGCAAGCGAAACAAAAUAAAAUGAAAUGACACUCCAAGCAAAACACAUAUCAUGUGGCGAAUAAAAAUAUAGCUCCAAGUAAAGUUACCGAUGAACGAAGACAAAAGAGGGGAUGCCUUCCGAGGCAUCCCCAAGAUUAGGCUAUUGGUCAUCCUUGAAUAUUACCUUGGGGUGCCUUGGGAAUCCCCAAGCUUAGGCUCUUGCCACUCCUUAUUUCAUAGUCCAUCGAAUCUUUACCCAAAACUUGAAAACUUCACAACACAAAACUUAACAGAAACCUCGUAAGCUCCGUUAGUAUAAGAAAAUAAAUCACCACUUAGGUACUGUAAUGAACUUGUUUUUUAUUUAUAUUGGUGUUAAACCUACUGUAUUCCAACUUCUCUAUGGUUUAUAAACUCUUUUACUAGCCAUAGAUUUAUCAAAAUAAGUAAACAACACAUGAAAAACAGAAUCUUUCGAAAGCAGAACAGUCUGUAGUAAUAUGGAUCAAACAUAUACUUCUGGAACUCAUAAAAUUCUCAAAUAAAUUUCUGGACCUGAGGAAUUUAUCUAUUAAUCAUCUUCAAAAAGAAUUAACUAAAUAGCACUCUCCAAAUAAAAAUGGCAGCAAUUCUCGUGAGCGCUAAAGUUUCUGUUUUUUACAGCAUGAUCGCAAAGACUUCCCCCAAGUCUUCCCAAAGGUUUUACUUGGCACAAACACUAAUUAAAUGCAUAAAACCACAUAUAAACAGAGGCUAGAUGAAUUAUUUAUUACUAAACAGGAGCAAAAAACAUGGGACAAAAAUAAAAUUGGGUUGCCUCCCAACAAGCGCUAUCGUUUAACGCCCCUAGCUAGGCAUGAUGAUUUCAACGAUGCUCACAUAAAAGAUAAGAAUUGAAACAUAAAGAGAGCAUCAUGAAGAAUAUGACUAGCACAUUUAAGUCUAACAUACUUCCUAUGCAUAGGGAUUUUGUGAGCAAACAACUUAUGGGAACAAUAACCAACUAGCAUAGGAGGGCAAAACAAGCAUAACUUCAAAACUUUAAGCACAUAGAGAGGAAACUUGAUAUUAUUGCAAUUCCUACAAGCAUAUAUUCCUCCCUCAUAAUAAUUUUCAGUAGCAUCAUGAAUGAAUUCAACAAUAUAACCAGCACCUAAAGCAUUCUUUUCAUGAUCUACAAGCAUAGAAAUUUUAUUACUCUCCACAUAAGCAAAAUUCUUCUCAUUCGGAAUAGUGGGAGCAAACUCAACAAAAUAAUUAUCAUGUCAGGCAUAAUCCAAUUGAAAACUAAAAUCAUGAUGACAAGUUUCAUGUAUAUCAUUAUUCUUUAUAGCAUACAAGUCAUCACAAUAAUCAUCAUAGAUAGCAACUUUGUUCUCAUAAUGAAUUGGAACCUCUUCCGAAAUAGUAGAUUCAUCACAAAAUAAAGUCAUGACCUCUCCAUAUCCACUUUCAACAAUAUAAUCAUCAUAAAUAGGAGGCAUGCUUUCAUCAUAAUAAAUUUGAUCAUCAUAACUUGGGGGACAAAAAAUAUCAUCUUCAUCAAACAUAGCUUCCCCAAACUUGUGGCUUUGCAUAUCAUUAGCAUCAUGGAUAUUCAAGGAAUUCAUACUAACAACAUUGCAAUCAUGCUCAUCAUUCAAAUAUUUAGUGCCAAACAUUUUAAUGCAUGCUUCUUCUAACACUUUGGCACACAUUUCCUUUCCAUAAUACACACAAAAGAUAUUAAAAAGAUGAAGCGUAUGAGGCAAACUUAAUUCCAUUUUUAUAAACUAAACUAGUGAUAAAACAAGAAACUAAAAGACUCGAUUGUAAGAUCUAAAGAUAUACCUUCAAGCGCUAACCUCCCCGGCAACGACGCCAGAAAAGAGCUUGAUGUCUACUACACAACCUUCUUCUUGUAGACGUUGUUGGGCCUCCAAGUGCAGAGGUUUGUAGGACAGUAGCAAAUUUCCCUCAAGUGGAUGACCUAAGGUUUAUCAAUCCGUAGGAGGCGUAGGAUGAAGAUGGUCUCUCUCAAGCAACNNNNNNNNNNNNNNNNNNNNNNNNNNNNNNNNNNNNNNNNNNNNNNNNNNNNNNNNNNNNNNNNNNNNNNNNNNNNNNNNNNNNNNNNNNNNNNNNNNNNAGAACAAGUACAUGUAUAGAAAUUUAAUACACUGCAAACCAUCCUAAAAAUAAAAAGUGACUUACCUAUGCUCAUUUGAUAUGGUAGGACGGAUAUGGUGAUUCCUCGACUUUUAACUCACCAGCGUGCCGAACAUGCAUAUCUUAUGUGAUAUCUGACUCUUCAAGCUUAUUAUGUAAUGCAAACCAAAAGUGACAGCAUUAGGGCAUUUAUCUAUACCUCUAUACCUACUAAUAAAGCAAGGUGCGUUUCUCUAAUUUUUUCAUCCGUUCACCGUAUUAUUUUUUAGAUUUUGUAUUAUUCAAGGUGGUACUAAUUUUGUGUGUCCGCGUGGGAGAAAAGGAAAAAAUGUUCGUCCAAAAUCGGCCCAUCGUAGCCUGUCCAGCUAGAGAGGUGCGCUCUGGCCCAUUGAAUCCCGCAAAAUGAAAAUUUGGUUCUUCAUUCUAAAAAGGAUACGAUAUCAUAUGUCAGGUCGCUUUUGUAUGACUAACCACAAAAUUAAUCUAGGGGCAAUCUCUAGACAAGAUAGGAGUAUAUCUACCUGAAUAAGCUUUCACACAUGGAUAGUUAUAUGUAGCAUUCGCAAGGGAUGGACCGUGGGUAAUGCUAAAUGAUCAAGAUUAAAAUAAGGAUGACGUGGUUAAGAAAAUAAUCUAAUAUAUUCUAAAGGUAUGAACAAUUAACACACAUUCAACAUGAUGCUUCUUUGACUAGCUCUACUGGCCAAUUACAUAAGAACAAGUACAUGUAUAGAAAUUUAGUACACUGCAAACCAUCCUAAAAAUAAAAAGUGACUUACCUAUGCUUAUUUGAUAUGGUAGGACGGAUAUGGUGAUUCCUCGACUUUUAACUCACCAGCGUGCCGAACAUGCAUAUCUUAUGUGAUAUCUGACUCUUCAAGCUUAUUAUGUAAUGCAAACCAAAAGUGACAACAUUAGGGCAUUUAUCUAUACCUCUAUACCUACUAAUAAAGCAAGGUGCGUUUCUCCAAUUUUUUCAUCCGUUCACCGUAUUAUUUUCUAGAUUUUGUAUUAUUCAAGGUGGUACUAAUUUUGUGUGUCCGCGUGGGAGAAAAGGAAAAAAUGUUCGUCCAAAAUCGGCCCAUCGUAGCCUGUCCAGCUAGAGAGGUGCGCUCUGGCCCAUUGAAUCCCGCAAAAUGAAAAUUUGGUUCUUCAUUCUAAAAAGGAUACGAUAUCAUAUGUCAGGUUGCUUUUGUAUGACUAACCACAAAAUUAACCUAGGGGCAAUCUCUAGACAAGAUAGGAGUAUAUCUACCUGAAUAAGCUUUCACACAUGGAUAGUUAUAUGUAGCAUUCGCAAGGGAUGGACCGUGGGUAAUGCUAAAUGAUCAAGAUUAAAAUAAGGAUGACGUGGUUAAGAAAAUAAUCUAAUAUAUUCUAAAGGUAUGAACAAUUAACACACAUUCAACAUGAUGCUUCUUUGACUAGCUCUACUGGCCAAUUACAUAAGAACAAGUACAUGUAUAGAAAUUUAGUACACUGCAAACCAUCCUAAAAUUAAAAAGUGACUUACCUAUGCUCAUUUCAUAUGGUAGGACGGAUAUGGUGAUUCCUCGACUUUUAACUCACCAGCGUGCCGAACAUGCAUAUCUUAUGUGAUAUCUGACUCUUCAAGCUUAUUAUGUAAUGCAAACCAAAAGUGACAGCAUUAGGGCAUUUAUCUAUACCUCUAUACCUACUAAUAAAGCAAGGUGCGUUUCUCCAAUUUUUUCAUCCGUUCACCGUAUUGUUUUCUAGAUUUUGUAUUAUUCAAGGUGGUACUAAUUUUGUGUGUCCGCGUGGGAGAAAAGGAAAAAAUGUUCGUCCAAAAUCGGCCCAUCGUAGCCUGUCCAGCUAGAGAGGUGCGCUCUGGCCCAUUGAAUCCCGCAAAAUGAAAAUUUGGUUCUUCAUUCUAAAAAGGAUACGAUAUUAUAUGUCAGGUCGCUUUUGUAUGACUAACCACAAAAUUAACCUAGGGGCAAUCUCUAGACAAGAUAGGAGUAUAUCUACCUGAAUAAGCUUCCACACAUGGAUAGUUAUAUGUAGCAUUCGGAAGGGGUGGACCGUGGAUAAUGCUAAAUGAUCAAGAUUAAAAUAAGGAUGACGUGGUUAAGAAAAUAAUCUAAUAUAUUCUAAAGGUAUGAACAAUUAACACACAUUCAACAUGAUGCUUCUUUGACUAGCUCUACUGGCCAAUUACACAAGAACAAGUACAUGUAUAGAAAUUUAGUACACUGCAAACCAUCCUAAAAAUAAAAAGUGACUUACCUAUGCUCAUUUGAUAUGGUAGGACGGAUAUGGUGAUUCCUCGACUUUUAACUCACCAGCGUGCCGAACAUGCAUAUCUUAUGUGAUAUAUGACUCUUCAAGCUUAUUAUGUAAUGCAAACCAAAAGUGACAGCAUUAGGGCAUUUAUCUAUACCACUAUACCUACUAAUAAAGCAAGGUGCGUUUCUCCAAUUUUUUCAUCCGUUCACCGUAUUAUUUUCUAGAUUUUGUAUUAUUCAAGGUGGUACUAAUUUUGUGUGUCCGCGUGGGAGAAAAGGAAAAAAUGUUCGUCCAAAAUCGGCCCAUCGUAGCCUGUCCAGCUAGAGAGGUGCGCUCUGGCCCAUUGAAUCCCACAAAAAGAAAAUUUGGUUCUUCAUUAUAAAAAGGAUACAAUAUCAUAUGUCAGGUCGCUUUUGUAUGACUAACCACAAAAUUAACCUAGGGGCAAUCUCUAGACAAGAUAGGAGUAUAUCUACCUAAAUAAGCUUUCACACAUUGAUAGUUAUAUGUAGCAUUCGCAAGGGAUGGACCGUGGGUAAUGCUAAAUGAUCAAGAUUAAAAUAAGGAUGACGUGAUUAAGAAAAUAAUCUAAUAUAUUCUAAAGGUAUGAACAAUUAACACACAUUCAACAUGAUGCUUCUUGGACUAGCUCUACUGGCCAAUUACAUAAUAAUAAGUACAUGUAUAGAAAUUUAGUACACUGCAAACCAUCCUAAAAAUAAAAAGUGACUUACCUAUUCUCAUUUGAUAUGGUAGGACGAAUAUGGUGAUUCCUCGACUUUUAACUCACCAGCGUGCCGAACAUGCAUAUCUUAUGUGAUAUCUGACUCUUCAAGCAUAUUAUGUAAUGCAAACCAAAAGUGACAGCAUUAGGGCAUUUAUCUAUACCUCUAUACCUACUAAUAAAGCAAGGUGCGUUUCUCUAAUUUUUUCAUNNNNNNNNNNNNNNNNNNNNNNNNNNNNNNNNNNNNNNNNNNNNNNNNNNNNNNNNNNNNNNNNNNNNNNNNNNNNNNNNNNNNNNNNNNNNNNNNNNNNUUUUUUUUGCGGGUAAAACUUAUAUUACUCAAACAUCAACCUUGCAGUCUUCCUUACAUAAAUCAAUGACUUUCAGAAGGCCAGAUCCUAACUAGACUAUAGUUCCACGCUCAGUUCUUGCAAACAUUGCUACACAAUCACCAACAAAAUUUUGAGAAUGGUUGAUGUGAGCAAUAUGAGCCGUAUGCAGAGACUCUAAAUGCUUGACCUCUGCCAUCAAAGACAUUCAAUAUGUUCAUUGCCGACAGGGAAUCCAUCUCGAUUUGAAUUGGGAGACCGGAGCAAUGGAUAAACCUUCCAUGCAUGCACUUAUUUCUACUUCAAGGGCAUCUGUACAAGAGAAGAGCUCCCUACAAUAUGUAUAAAUGAUUUUACCUAGAUGAUCAUGGAGCACCAUCCCGGCUGCCGCCUUCCCAUCCUUUGUCCAUGAACCGUCAGUGUUGAGUUUAACCCAGCCCACUGGCUGAGGAGACCACUUUGCAGGGGGUAACACAUUUGAUAUUUCAUGUGAACUUUUGAUUUCAGACCAUAAGAUAUUGACACCUUCCCUUUGGCCAGAUCACAAAUGGAAUCUUCUGCUAUCAGUAUCACAAUGAGUGCGUCCAGGUAGCUGCAUAAAAAUCUGCGAGAAGCGUCCAUCGGUGGUGGUAAUUUGUCAUGAACUGGCUCAUUACGGUUAUGCCAACACCUUGAGAAGGUGAGCAGAACCAUACCUCGCUCCACAUCUCCCAAUGGAUGUAGUUCUUCAAGUAACCACUCAACUCCUGUUUUGGUCACAUCUUUGAGUUUCGGCGGGCGCCAGAGUUCAGACAUACACUCCCAUAGCUGAAUGGAUAGUGGGCAAUGACAAAGGGCAUGGAAACAGUCCGUUGUUUCAGUACCACAGAUUGGGCAAAAUGCUUGAGACCUCCAGACCUCGCUUGUCCUUGUUCUUCAAUGUUGGGAGAGAGUUAACAGCAACUCGCCAAGCAAUGUUUUUUUUUGGGGUUGCCAAGCAAUGUUUUGAACAGUGUGUGUGACCAUGCUACUCCAUAUUAGCUUGUAUACUUGUUCCAGGUAGACUCUUUUGCAACAAAACAAUACGUCCGGUAAGGUAACUGAUGCAUGCAAUGAGUUCCUACGUAAGGUCUUCUUAGCCCCGCUUUCCAUUGAAACUUCCCCACAUCCCCCGCAGAAAAAAAAGAAAAAGAAAAGAAACUUCCCCACAUUUUUUUCCACUGAAACUCACCUCGAUCAGAACAUCACUCAGUUUUGAGCCUGGUACAUAACUUCGACCUAGGCUACAGCUCAAAUCUACUACCGUUUGAGAGUAAUCAACAUGAUAGAGCACUUACUUUGCGAAUAAUUAACAAGGUGGAACAAGAUGGAGAAACGUGAACAAUUUUACUUCCAUGGCUAGAAAGCCUAGAAAGCAGUUAUACAAUGCAACAAUUUGGAACAUGAUAGAACACUUUCUUUGCCAAAUAAUUAACAUGUCAUAACAUAAUGGAACAAUUCUGUGAUUACACUUCGUAAUCGACAUCAUAUCCCAAAGCGCAGACGCAAGGAAAUUUGCAUAAGUCUAGCAUUGUCGACUAAGAAGCAGCAUCGAUUUCCAUGGCGCCGGAGUCGCUAACAUCCUGGCCAUGUUCCGUCGAGAGAGAUAUGUAUACGUACGACUCAUCAUCAGCGGCAGGAAUCGUCACCACCUGGUGCCGGCACAUGGGGCAGCUCCCCUUGGCAUGCAGCCACCUCUCCACGCACCGCCCGUGGAACCGGUGCCCGCACGGCGUCAACUUCCACGUCGCUAUGUCGUCCUCCAAGCAGAUCGGGCAGUUGAGGCCGUCAUCGUCUGACAGCGCGUCCACCGUCUUCAGCGCCUUGUCCACCGCCGCCGCCAACACUGGGUCGACGUCGCCCGCGACGCCGACGAGUGCGGCGAUGUCGGCCGCGUUCACCGCGGUGCCUAGCUCUAGUAGGUAGUCGAGAGUGCUUUGGCGGAUAAGUGGGCCGUGCACGGCGACGUAUGCGACUAGAACGUCCGGGAGACCUUCUUCUACUUGUGGGAGGUCUUCGGCCAUGUCCAUGGCAUUCGACGCCAUCUAGCUAGCUGGCAAUAGCGCUGGAGAGAGAUUGAUCAGUUUCUCACCGCCGGCUACGUACGUACGUACGUGAUGGCGAAAUGAAACUGGAUCGGAUCGUAGGGGAAGCGAUGGAAAUAAUCGCACAGGCGACAGUGUGCAUAUAAUAUGAAACCAGAAUGUUGGAGAGUCACGCUCUCGUGUCGGAAUUGGAUUAUAUUAAUUAUUACGUUUUUCAGGAAAUACUAAAUUAUUAUGUGUUUUCUUAUAAUAGAAAGAAACACCUAUUUCUUUUGAUGGACCAGCCCAGUAACGCGCGUGUUUUUUACUUUGAUUUUCUUACUUUCAGAGAAGAAACAUGUAUUUCUUUCCUUUUUCUAUUUCUGUAUUAUUUCGGUUUAGCUUUUGGUUUAUUUCCACUUUUAUAUAUUCCUUUUAUUUUAUUAUAUACGGUGAAAUGUGGAAAUAUUUGUUCAAAAUUACAUGCGCACAUAUUUCUAAUGCACAUGAACAAUUUCUCACAAACAUAUAAAAUCUUUCAGACAUAUUUGAAACAUGUAUUUUUUUCCAAAUCUAUGAAUAUUUCUAUUUGCAUGCAGAAACAUUUGUUGCAUAUAACAUGAUUUUUUUGAGUGUAUGUACAUUUAUAAUCAUAUAAAUGGGUAUUUUAAUGUUUAUAAUAAUCCAUCAUUAAACUUAUUUUAAAAUUAUAAAUAAAAAUUGAGAACCCACCUUUGGUUGGAUGGCUAAAGGGACUGUGGCAUCCCCAGCCCACCAGAGUUCAAAUGCUGGUGCUCGCAUUUAUUCCUGGAUUUAUUUCAGGAUUUACGGUGAUGUGCAUUCAGUGGGAGGAGACGUUCCCGUCGACGAUGAGGCGCCUAUGGUGAGUUCGUAAAUCUCGAGAUAACAUCGAUGUGCAUUUAGUGGGAGGAGACGUUCCUGUCGACGACGAGGCGCCUACGGUGACUUCGUAAAUCUUAAGAUAAUAUGCCGGCUCAGUCUUUCGGAGAUGGUCAUAGCGAUACAGGUGUGCGUGUGUGCAUUCAUAGGGUGAGUGUAUGCGUGUCUAUAUGAGUGCUUGGGUCUGUACUGAUGUUUAAAAAUUAUAAAUAAAAAUUAUUAUUCAUGUUUAUGAUUUUUUUNNNNNNNNNNNNNNNNNNNNNNNNNNNNNNNNNNNNNNNNNNNNNNNNNNNNNNNNNNNNNNNNNNNNNNNNNNNNNNNNNNNNNNNNNNNNNNNNNNNNUCAUAUGGAUGCUAGCGACACCAUCAUAUACAUGAGCCAAAAGGCGCAAACGGUCCCGAGCCACGGUAAGGCAACACCCAUGGGAAUACCGUGCGUGAGGCCGCAAAGUGAUAUGAGGUGUUACCGGCUAGAUCGAUGUGACUUGGAAUCGGGGUCCUGACAAUGAGCUCAGAUUAAAAAAAAGACUUUGCUAAGAUGGUGUUGGCGAAGGAGGAGGCACUUUCCCAGUUGCCCUGUGCAAAACGGGUUCUUACUGAACUAAAAGCAGAGGUGGAUAAGACGAGUCUGGAUGAUCUUGAUUAGGAAAAUGAAUAUAUUGUUCUUAUGAAGUUGAACUAGCUAUAUGUUGUAUUGUGCUGUUUUCAUGUAGCUACCGUACUGUGAUGUUAUAAUAUAUUUAUGUGCCUGAUAUGAAAUUGGCAAACAGCUGUUCGAUAUGAAAUGUGAAUUUGCGUAAUACUGGAAUUAUUAAUUGUAAACUAAUAAACCUGCUAAAUGUGUCAUGGACCUUUGCAAAUGGUUCUAGCAGUAAAAGCGGUUGCGAUGGAUAGCCCAAUGCCACACAUCUUUCUUCAUCAAAUCGUGUGUGAUAUAGUUGAUAAAAGCAAACAGUUAACCAAGAACAGAGUAACGCAUUUGGCAAGAUGACAUGAUGUAGAGGGAUAAACUCAAGCAAUAUGAUAUAAAACCCAUCUUUUUAUCCUUGAUGGCAACAAUACAAUACGUAUCGUUUCCCUUGCUGUCACUGGGAUCGAGCAACACAAGAUUGAACCCAAAGCUAAGCACUUCUCCCAUUGCAAGAAAGAUCAAUCUAGUAGGCCAAACCAAACUGAUAAUUGGAAGAGACUUGCAAAUAUAACCAAUCAUACAUAAAAGAAUUCAGAGAAGAUUCAAAUAUUGUUCAUAGAUAAUCUUGAUCAUAAACCCACAAUUCAUCGGAUCUCGACAAACACAACGCAAAAAGAGUUACAUCGAAUAGAUCUCCAAGAAGAUCGAGGAGAACUUUGUAUUGAGAUCCAAAAAGAGAGAAGAAGCCAUCUAGCUAAUAACUAUGGACCCGAAGGUCUGUGGUAAACUACUCACACAUCAUCGGAGAGGCUAAGGUGUUGAUGUAGAGCCCUCCGUGAUCGAUUCCCCCUCCGGCGAAGCGCCAAAAAAGGCCCCAAGAUGGGAUCUCAUGGGUACAGAAGGUUGCGGCGGUGGAAAUAGGGUUUCGUGGUGCUCCUCGAUGGUUUCGGGGUACAUGAGUAUAUAUAGGAGGAAGAAGUAGGUCGGUGGAGCCACGAGGGGCCCAUGAGGGUGGGGGCCGUGCCCAGGGGGGUAGGCGCGCCUCCCUGCCUCGUGGCCUCCUCGUUGAUUUCUUGACGUCCACUCCAAGUCCUCUGGAUCACGUCUGUUCCAAAAAUCAUGCUCCCGAAGGUUUCAUUCCGUUUGGACUCCGGUUGGUAUUCCUUUUCUGCGAAACACUGAAAUAGGCAAAAAAACAACAAUUUGCACUGGGCCUUGGGUUAGUAGGUUAGUCCCAAAAAUAAUAUAAAAGUGUAUAAUAAAGCCCAUUAAACAUCCAAAAUAGAAUAUAUAAAAGCAUGGAGCAAUAAAAAAUUAUAGAUACGUUGGAGACGUAUCAAGCAUCCCCAAGCUUAAUUCCUACUCGUCCUCGAGUAGGUAAAUGAUAAAAACAGAAUUUUUGAUGUGGAAUGCUACUUAGCAUAUUCUUCAAUGUAAUUUUCUUUAUUGUGGCAUGAAUGUUCAGAUCCGAAAGAUUCAAGAUAAAAGUUUAAUAUUGACAUAAAAAUAAUAAUACUUCAAGCAUACUAACUAAGCAAUCAUGUCUUCUCAAAAUAACAUGGCCAUAGAAAGUUCAUCCCUACAAAAUCAUAUAGUUUGGUCAUGCUCCAUUUUCGUCACACAAGAUGCUCUCAUCUUGCACAACCCCGAUGACAAGCCAAGCAAUUGUUUCAUACUUUAGUAAUCUCAAACUUUUUUCAACUUUCACGCAAUACAUGAGCGUGAGCCAUGGAUAUAGCACUAUGGGUGGAAUAGAAUAUAAUGAUGGGGGUUGUGUGGAGAAGACAAAAAAAGGAGAAAGUCUCACAUUGACGCGGCUAAUCAAUGGGCCAGGGAGAUGCCCAUCAAUUGAUGUCAAUGCAAUGAGUAGGAUUGGCAUGCAACGGAUGCACUAGAGCUAUAAAUGUAUGAAAGCUCAACAAAAGAAACUAAGUGGGUGCAUCCAACUUGCUUGCUCACGAAGACCUAGGGCAUUUGAGGAAGCCCAUUGUUGGAAUAUACAAGCCAAGUUCUAUAAUGAAAAAUUCCCACUAGUAUAUGAAAGUGAUAUCAUAGGAGACUCUCCCUCAUAAAGAUCAUGGUGCUACUUUGAAGCACAAGUGUGGAAAAAGGAUAGUAGCAUUGUCCCUUUUUUUCUUUCUUUUUUUCUUUUUUGGGCCUUUCUUUUUUUAUUUUGCCUUUCUAUUUUUUUAUUUGGGACAAUGCUCUAUUAAUGAUGAUCAUCACACUUCUAUUUAUUUACAACUCGAUACUAGAACAAAAUAUGACUCUAUAUGAAUGCCUCCGGCGGUGUACUGGGAUGGGCAAUGAAUCAAGAGUGACAUGUAUGAAAUAAUAAGCAUGGUGGCUUUGCCACAAAUACGAUGUCAACUACAUGAUCAUGCAAGGCAGUAUGACAAUGAUGAAGCGCGUCAUAAUAAACGGAACGGUGGAAAGUUGGAUGGCAAUAUAUCUCGGAAUGGCUAUGGAAAUGCUAUAAUAGGUAGGUAUGGUGGCUGUUUUGAGGAAAAUAUAAGGAGGUUUAUGUGUGAUAGAGCGUAUCGUAUCACGGGGUUUGGAUGCACACGCGAAGUUUGCACCAACUCUCAAGGUGAGAAAGGGCAAUGCACGGUACCGAAGAGGCUAGCAAUGAUGGAAGGUUGAGAGUGCGUAUAAUCCAUGGACUCAACAUUAGUCAUAAAGAACUCACAUACUUAUUGCAAAAAUCUACAAGCCAUCAAAAACCAAGCACUACGCGCAUGCUCCUAGGGGGAUAGAUUGGUAGGAAAAGACCAUCGCUCGUCCCCGACCGCCACUCAUAAGGAUGACAAUCAAAGAACACCUCAUGUUUUAAAUUUGUUACACAACGUUUACCAUACGUGCAUGCUACGGGACUUGCAAACUUCAACACAAGUAUUUAUCAAAUUCACAACUNNNNNNNNNNNNNNNNNNNNNNNNNNNNNNNNNNNNNNNNNNNNNNNNNNNNNNNNNNNNNNNNNNNNNNNNNNNNNNNNNNNNNNNNNNNNNNNNNNNNCAAGAUUGAACUUUUGUGUCUCCUUAAUUCCUCUCAUAUCAUGGUUUCUCUUUUUAUCAAAAGCUUUAUCCACACCAAACUCAACAAGAACUCGUGAGAUAGGUUAACCAAUGCAAAACCUUAUCAUUUUCUACUGUAACAAAUCACUAACAUUAUUAUUCAACAUUUCAUACUAAAUGUCUCUGCAUAUUUAAUACUCCUAUCCUCAAAUAGAAUCAUUAAACAAGCAAACAUACGCAAACACUGCAACCAUAACAGCAAUCUGCCAAAACAGUACAGUCUGUAAAGAAUGCAAGAGUAUCAAUACUUCCCUAACUCCAAAAAUUAUGAAAUAACAUUCCCACUGUAGUAAAUUUAUCAUAGCUCAUUAUGCAAAAAGUUUCAACAUUAUAUCAUGCUCUGACUUUUCUAGAGAAUUUUUGCAACAGCGGUAAACUUUCUGUUUUCAAACAGCAACAUGUAUACUAGCAAAAUAAGCAUGGUAAAGGCUAUCCUUGACAUUUUUAUUGAAACUAAAGAUGAAAACCAUUAUUCUAAAUAACAUCAAGCAAAUACUAACAAGAUAAAAUGACGCUCCAAGCAAAACACAUAUCAUGUGGCGAAUAAAAAUAUAGCUCCAAGUAAAGUUACCGAUGAAUGAAGACGAAAGAGGGGAUGCCAUCCGGGGCAUCCCCAAGCUUAGGCUUUUGGUCGUCCUUGAAUAUUACCUUGGGGUGCCUUGGGCAUCCCCAAUCUUAGGCUCUUGCCACUCCUUAUUCCAUAGUCCAUCGAUUCUUUACCCAAAACUUGAAAACUCCACAACACAAAACUCAACAGAAAACUCGUAAGCUCCGUUAGUAUAAGAAAAUAAAACAACCACUUAGGUACUGUAAUGAACUCAUUAUAAAUUCAUAUUGGUGUAAUAUAUACUGUAUUCCAACUGCUCUAUGGUUCAUACCCUCCGAUACUACUAAAAAAUUCAUCAAAAUAAGCAAACAACACAUAGAAAACAGAAUAUGUCAAAAACAGAACAGUCUUUAGUAAUCUGUAUCAAACGUAUACUUAUGGGACUCCAAAACACCUACCAAUUUAGGAAGACCUAAGAAAUUUGUGUACCAAUCCAGAGCAAAAAGAAUCAGAUCAAGAGCACGUUUCUGUGAAUUAACAAAACUAAUUUACUGGGUGCAAAAGUUUCUGAUUUUCAGCAGGAUCAACACAACUAUCACCGUAAGCUCUCCUAAAGGUCUUACUUGGCAUUUAUUGAAAUAAAAUCUAUAAAACAUGAUUACUACAGUAGCAUAAUCAUGUGGACACACAGAAACAGUACAGAUAAAUAUUGGGUUGUCUCCCAACAAGCGCUUUUCUUGAAUGCCUUUCUGGCUAGGCAUGAUGAUGACAAUGAUGCUCACAUAAAAGAUAAGAAUUGAAACAUAGUGGGAGCAUCAUGAAGCAUAUGACUAGCACAUUUAAGUCUAACCCACUUCCUAUGCAUAGGGAUUUUGUGACCAAACAACUUAUGGGAACAAUAAUCAACUAUCAUAGGAAGGUAAAACAAGCAUAACUUCAAGAUUUUAAGCGCAUAGAGAGAAAACUUGAUAUCAUUGCAAUUCCUACAAGCAUAUGUUCCUCCCUCAUAAUAAUUUUCAGUAGCAUCAUGAAUGAAUUCAAAAAUAUAACCAGCACCUAAAGAAUUCUUUUCAUGAUCUACUAGCAUAUAAAAUUUACUAAUCUCCACAUAAGCAAAAUUCUCCUCAUUCGGAAUAGCAGGAGUAUCAUAAGAGACUUGAAUACUAAAAAUUGUUUCCAUAUUAAAAGAGUAAUGUUCAGAAAAAAGGGUAAUCAUAAUUAUGACAAGAUUUACAAAUAUAAUUAUCACUACUUUUUAUAGCAUAAGUUUCAUCACAAUAAUCAUCAUAAGUAGCAACUUUGUUCUCAUCAUAAUCGAUUGAAACCUCUUCCAAGAUAGUGGAAUCAUCACUAAAUAAAGUUGACACUCUUCCAAAUCCAGUUUCAUAUUCAUCACAAUAAGAUUCAACAUCCUCCAAAAUAGUGGGAUAACUACUUCUUAAAGUUGUCACUCUUCCAAAACCACUUUCAUCAAUAUAAUCAUCAUAGGUAAGAGGCAUGCUAUCAUCAUAACAACUUUGCAUAUCAAAACUUGGGAUGCUAAAAAUAUCAUCUUCAUUAAACAUAGCAUCCCCAAGCUUGGGACAAACAUUAAUUUCAGCAAAUAUAUUCUAAAAUAUGUCAUCCUCAUCAAACAUAACUUCCCCAAGCUUGGGCUUUUUCAUAUCAUAAGCAUAAUCACUCUCAUCAUUAAUAGUAUGGAUAGCACCAAUAGUAUAGCAAUUAUCAUCAUCACAAUGAGUAGUAGGAGCAACAUCAUUUGGAAGGGAUACCUUUUUACCUUUGUUGCCCUUUCUUUUCCUUUUCUUUUUCACAUUAUGUGUGGGUUCAACCUUCCUCUUUGAGCUCCUUAUUGACAAGAUUGGUUGGAUAGAAAGCUCCUCCUCGUUACCUGAUUCGUCAUAAGAAAUAAUAGGAGGAUAUUGGGAAGUCUCUUCCCUUUCAUUAGUAUUCUCAUCAUCUUCUAUUUGCUUUAUUUUCUUUAUGUAAUUGGAAAUAUAGGGAUUUUCAAUGCAAUUCACCGCACGAAACAUAUAAAUCUUCUCUAGAUCAAAAUCAAGAAAUCUAUCAAGAUUAAAUUUUGGAAUACCCUCAUUUAUACGUUUCAUUUCUUCAUACCCCAAAAGAAGGCUAAGCUCUUUAUGAUGCCCAAGGGUAAUCAAAGCUAUCACAAUUUUUGGACACAAUUCGGUCAUGAAACAAUUUGCAUUGGAGAUUUAAAUGACCACGUUCAUUGCAAAGUUCACAAGGAGCACAAAAAAUAUUGAAUCUUUCAGCACAAUCAUCAAGUCUUUCUUGCAACAAUUUAGUUUCUAAAUACUUAUGCCUCUUGCAAUAUAUAUCUUCUCAAUUUGGUGCAUUCAUGCAAACAUGCACUCCACAGAAGUUGACAUGCUCAUAAGAGAUAUUUUCAUCAUGACUAGAGCAAUCAUCAUUAGUACUAUGGAUAUUCAAGGAGUUUAUACUAACAACAUUGCAAUCAUGCUCAUCAUUCAAAGAUUCAGUACCAAGCAUUUUAAUGCACUCUUCUUCUAGCACUUGAGCACAAUUUUCCUUUCCAUCAAACUCACGAAAGAUAUUAAAAAGAUGAAGCGUNNNNNNNNNNNNNNNNNNNNNNNNNNNNNNNNNNNNNNNNNNNNNNNNNNNNNNNNNNNNNNNNNNNNNNNNNNNNNNNNNNNNNNNNNNNNNNNNNNNNCUGAUUUAGGGUUUAGGGUUCAUCAAAACCUCCCGCCGCAGCGCCUCCUCUACGGACUAGCGCAUGAUUUAGAGAACUAGCGUUGCUUUGGGCAUGAUGAAGUGUACUAAACCUAACACAUGAUGUUUUGCAGUUCUGUGAGUUAGGCGUGUUGACAUGGACGAAGAAUCCGCAUUCGGGAGGGAUGAGAAUGAUGCUGAUAAGGUGACUAAGACUGAUAACGAUAAUUUGAAUGAAGAUGAUGACAGCAGCGACAACGAUUCCGUCUCGUCAUAUGAUAUCUUACCUCCGGAGGAUUUUGAUAAUAAUGAACAUGGCACACAUAGUGAAAAUGUAAGUGGCGUAUAUUUUGAUUUUAUUUUUUAAUUUGCAAAGUAUGUCAUGGCUAACUAUAUACCUUUGUGUAAAAAUUUGCAUGAAGAUGUGGAUGUUGACAAUGUGCAAAAUAGUUUCUAGGAAUCAUUUGCAGAUAACUUGAGCCAGGUUAGUUGAUAGAUGUUGUACAUCGAUCAAUAGUAUGAAUUAAAUCUUAUAUCUUAUCUUAUAUCUUAUAUCUUAUAUCUUAUCUUAUAUUUAUAUUUACUAAUUGGAGGCACCAUACGAGACACCACGCUAAUCCUUGAAAUUAACGAAUUUCAACCAUCGGAUGAAUAUAUGAUGUGUAUGUAGCCCUUGGAUGAAAUAAGAGACCCGCUCUUCUGUCCCACGUAAUUAUGUGAAUCGUCCUCCUCUUGGUCUCUCUCCCUUUCUCUAGAAAAAACUGAGUGUCGUCUCAAUAUUGAUCUAUAUGUAGCCCUGAGAUGGAAUAAGAGACCUGCUCUUCUAUCCCACGUACGUAUGUGAAUCAUCCUCCUCUUGGUCUCUCACCCUUUUAUCUACAAAAAAGAAAAACUCAGCGUCAUCUCCUCAUAGAUUUGACGAACAGAUACUCCCCAUCUUCUAUCUCCGUUUCCCUUGAAAAAAAAAUCGCGACUUGCAUCCAAUUGAAUCAGGCAGCGCAUGAUGGGAAAGCCUCCUCUUCCUUCCACGGGCUAUCUGCUGCAUCAUAUAGAUUGUGCGGCUGUGCAGGUCCACCAAAAUUCACAAGUAGCAGCAAUGGCCGAAGUUUGUAUUAGUCACGUCAGAUUUGAUCAGUAGUAGCGUUGGCGAGAACCAUGUACUCUCUUUGAAAUCAAGUUUCGUUGGCUCAGGUAAACAACACAAUCUUUUCUUUCCCGUCUGAUCCAUGUGCCAUUAAGCUGUAAGAGCAUUGGUCGUCGAGAAAAUUUUAAGGGACCUCCUAGGUUUCGUUUUGAUGUAGAAUAAAUAUUGUUUCUACCUCCUCCCGUAAUCUACUAGGCCCUAUGUUGUUUCAACAGAAGAAUCCAAAGCCGAAGCCUAGGUCUGUUCUCCUGAGAAAUACGCAUAUCCUUGCCGUAAAAAGAACCCAUCAUGUGGGCGAUCUUCUCAUCACACUCCUUUUGCAUGGCCGUCCUUUGACUCCUCUCAAGCUGCAAAGAUGAAGAUGGGCGGGGGAAACAUGAUGGAGGCCUGUUGCCUCACGUGUUCUCCUGCUGAGGAAGAAACAUGGCCAAGUGCUGAUGGAUGCAAUGCACAUCUCAAAUUAUAAUGUCUACCACACACUAUAUCAAUUAGGAGAUGAGAAGGAAAAGCGUUUGGGCCUGGUGUGGCGUCGUAGUCGGCCACGCCAUGAAGCAUCUGUCGGUCCAGCAUGUGAUUAGACUCAGCUGUCGAAUGCUCUGGCUUGGUCUAAUUAUAAUUUAACAUAUUUCCUAUUUAGAUAUUACAGUUUUCUUUGAGCUGAUUUAGAUCUUACUUAAUGAUGCAUACGUACGAAUGAGGAUAGUUGAAAGAAAGGGACGUUGUGGGUGUAGGCUGCCAGAAAAAAAUCAAUCACAGUCGUUCAAUCCGAAGGAACAGGCAAGCCACGUUCCAAUCUGUGAUAUACCCAUUAAAGCGUCGAUUGCUUGAUUUCAUUCAGCAUAGUCAAUAUGUCCUUACAUAUUCUGUGAUAAACUACAGACACCAGCAUGUACAGCCCUUAAACAAAUUGCAUAAUACAUCCAUAUUCGGUAAUAACAUGCACAUAGCAACAUUUAUGUCCCUCAAGCUAAUUGAUCUACUCAUGUAACUGCAUUCAGAACCGAGAAACUGUUACCUCUCAAAACAUGCAUACUCUUUUUCUGCUACUAUUAUAGCUAUCACAUAUUAGCAGUUGUGAGCAUGCGCCAUUGAAUAAAUUAACAUUGUAAUUACUAAUCCAUUGCACAAUAGUAAAUGUAUAUUUAUGAAGAUGUACACCGUAUAUCCCCCUCAGGGCAUCUCCAGCCGUUGGCCCCCCAGGAGGGGCAAAAAAUCGCCCCCUGGGGGCGCACCGGCGCUAACGGCGCACUGGAGGCGUGAUGUCCCCCAGUCGCGGCGCCCACGGUAUUUUAAAAAAUUUAAACACGGCACAAACAUAGCAAACUUCGGCGAGUUCGUUCAAACAUAAACAUAUUUUACAAAAAAAAAA